UCACGACGCCGCCAGCUGAUCGGAGACUGGAGCCGGUGUGUGCUGGGCGCUGGGAAGAGACAGCGCCGCCGGCCGUGGGGAUCGGACGCACUGAUUCGCUCCCCUGCUCUCAGCACCCCCUCCACCCAGCACCAGGAAGCUGUACCUCACAUAUCCUCUCCUGGCUGAGCCGCAGUAGUUCUUCAGUGGCAAGCUUUAUGUCCUGACCCAGCUAAAGCUGCCAGUUGAAGAACUGUUGCCCUCUGCCCCUGGCUUCGAGGAGGAAGAGGAGAUGGAGCUGCUUUCCUCUUCAUCUGGAAGAUGGAGUACCACGCAGCCAUUAAAAUCACGUAGAAGAACAUUUGACUGGAAAGAAAAAUGCUCUUUGAGGAGUUCCCGUCGUGGCUCAACAGAAAGAAAUCUGACUAGCAACCAUGAGGAUGCAGGUUCAAUCCCUGGCCUUGCUACUGGGUUAAGGAUCCAGUGUUGACAUGAGCUGUGGUGCAGCUUGCAGAUGCAGCUUGAAUCAAAGAAAAGUGCUCUUUGGAAAAUGAAAAGGUGUAUUACGUGAUUUCAGUUUCCCUGGCCUCGCUACUGGGUUAAGGAUCCAGUGUUGACAUGAGCUGUGGUGCAGCUUGCAGAUGCAGCUUGAAUCAAAGAAAAGUGCUCUUUGGAAAAUGGAAAGGUGUAUUACGUGAUUUCAGUUUCUUUUUUUUUUUAAUAUGAGUGUACCCCUGAAUGUGUAAAAGAGUUAAAAGACCGAGGACAUACUCCAAAUUGUUACUAAUAGUGGUUCUCUUUGGAUGGUGGAAUAAAGUGAUUGUAAUUUUACUCUCUGGCUUUUCUGUAAUUGCCAAAUUUUCAACAUUAAUUGUGUGUGGCUUUCCUAUAAUAAAUACAGAUUAAAA
This 887-nucleotide long non-coding RNA is filed under the name Sus scrofa (pig). Its description in RNAcentral is "lncRNA (ENSSSCG00005018064.1)". The stretch from base 163 to 246 matches the Rfam family "mir-22 microRNA precursor family". Lineage: Eukaryota; Metazoa; Chordata; Mammalia; Artiodactyla; Suidae. The record is from RNAcentral.